Molecule: ribosomal RNA, 467 nt
Filed under: uncultured bacterium
Lineage: Bacteria
Description: partial 16S ribosomal RNA
Rfam family: Bacterial small subunit ribosomal RNA
Source: RNAcentral
GACGAACGCUGGCGGCGUGCUUAACACAUGCAAGUCGAACGGAAAAGCCCUGCUUUUUUGGUGGGUUCGUGUGGCGCACGGGUGAGUAACCCGUGUAUCACCCGCCCCUCACUUUGGUAUAACCUCAGGAAACUUGGGCUUACUCCGGAUGGGAGCUCCCUCUGCCUGGGGUGGGGUGGAAAUUUUUCGCGGUGGGGGAUGGUCUCGCGGCUUAUCCGCUUGUUGGUGGGGUAGUGGCUUACCAAGGCUUUGACGGGUAGCCGGCCUGAGAGGGUGACCGGCCAAAUGGGGACUGAGAAACGGCCCAGACGCCUACGGGAGGAAGAAGGGGGGAAUAUGGCACAAGGGGCGGAAGCCGGAUGCAGCAACGCCGGGUGCGGGAGGACGGCCUUCGGGUGGUAAACCGCUUUAGCCUGGGACGAAGAGUGAGUGACGGUAAUGGGGAAAGAAGCACCGGCUAACUACGU